AGAGUUUGAUCCUGGCUCAGGACGAACGCUGGCGGCGUGCUUAACACAUGCAAGUCGAACGGAAAGGUCUCUUCGGAGAUACUCGAGUGGCGAACGGGUGAGUAACACGUGGGUGAUCUGCCCUGCACUUCGGGAUAAGCCUGGGAAACUGGGUCUAAUACCGGAUAGGACCACGGGAUGCAUGUCUUGUGGUGGAAAGCGCUUUAGCGGUGUGGGAUGAGCCCGCGGCCUAUCAGCUUGUUGGUGGGGUGACGGCCUACCAAGGCGACGACGGGUAGCCGGCCUGAGAGGGUGUCCGGCCACACUGGGACUGAGAUACGGCCCAGACUCCUACGGGAGGCAGCAGUGGGGAAUAUUGCACAAUGGGCGCAAGCCUGAUGCAGCGACGCCGCGUGGGGGAUGACGGCCUUCGGGUUGUAAACCUCUUUCACCAUCGACGAAGGUCCGGGUUCUCUCGGAUUGACGGUAGGUGGAGAAGAAGCACCGGCCAACUACGUGCCAGCAGCCGCGGUAAUACGUAGGGUGCGAGCGUUGUCCGGAAUUACUGGGCGUAAAGAGCUCGUAGGUGGUUUGUCGCGUUGUUCGUGAAAUCUCACGGCUUAACUGUGAGCGUGCGGGCGAUACGGGCAGACUAGAGUACUGCAGGGGAGACUGGAAUUCCUGGUGUAGCGGUGGAAUGCGCAGAUAUCAGGAGGAACACCGGUGGCGAAGGCGGGUCUCUGGGCAGUAACUGACGCUGAGGAGCGAAAGCGUGGGGAGCGAACAGGAUUAGAUACCCUGGUAGUCCACGCCGUAAACGGUGGGUACUAGGUGUGGGUUUCCUUCCUUGGGAUCCGUGCCGUAGCUAACGCAUUAAGUACCCCGCCUGGGGAGUACGGCCGCAAGGCUAAAACUCAAAGGAAUUGACGGGGGCCCGCACAAGCGGCGGAGCAUGUGGAUUAAUUCGAUGCAACGCGAAGAACCUUACCUGGGUUUGACAUGCACAGGACGCGUCUAGAGAUAGGCGUUCCCUUGUGGCCUGUGUGCA
RNAcentral lists this ribosomal RNA (1027 nucleotides) under Mycobacterium tuberculosis variant bovis. RNAcentral describes it as "bacterial SSU rRNA". It matches the Rfam family "Bacterial small subunit ribosomal RNA", at positions 8 to 1036 of the family's 1533-position model. Lineage: Bacteria; Bacillati; Actinomycetota; Actinomycetes; Mycobacteriales; Mycobacteriaceae. RNAcentral also lists the same sequence under 1 other name. The record is from RNAcentral.